RNAcentral lists this ribosomal RNA (484 nucleotides) under uncultured bacterium. Its description in RNAcentral is "bacterial SSU rRNA". It matches the Rfam family "Bacterial small subunit ribosomal RNA", at positions 43 to 519 of the family's 1533-position model. The record is from RNAcentral.
CAGGCCUAACACAUGCAAGUCGAACGGGGGCAUGGAGCUGAUCGCUUCGGUGUGAAGCACCAUGUUAUCUAGUGGCGACGGGUGAGUAACACAUGGGUAACCUGCCCUCAGGAUUGGGAUACUCCCGGAAACCGGGCACAAUACCGGAUAUGAUUCCGAGGUGAAAUGCCUAGGGAAAAAGCUGCGGGCAACCGCGGCACCUGAGGAUGGGCCCGUGGCCUAUCACCUGUUGGUGAGGUAAAAGCUCACCAAGGCCGAGACGGGUAGCCGGACUAGAGGCCGAUCGGCCACACUGGAACUGAGACACGGUCCAGACUCCUACGGAGGCAGCAGUGGGGAAUUUUGCGCAAUGGGCGAAAGCCUGACGCAGCGCGCCGCGUGGGGGAAGAAGGCCUUCGGGUUGUAAACUCCUUUAGUACGGAAGAAGCCUUCGGGUGACGGUACCGUAAGAAUAAGCCACGGCUAACUCUUGCCAGCAGCCGCG